Molecule: long non-coding RNA, 310 nt
Organism: Dermacentor silvarum
Lineage: Eukaryota; Metazoa; Arthropoda; Arachnida; Ixodida; Ixodidae
Exons: 3
Source: RefSeq, a predicted model, not a curated record
AUUGCAACAACACAUCCGAAGAGGGCUGUCUUUACCCUUGGUCAUGCUACUACUGUCCGCCUAAUAUCACGAUGGCAUACAUAAGGGACUGAAUAUAUCCUAUUUCGACACUGCAACGAACUCGUGCGUUCAUACAGUUGGAAGCAGCGACAGUUGCAACAGCUUUCCCACAUUGGGUACCUGCGAGAUGUUCUGUUCCUUUGAGCCCAUAGAGGAAUCUGAUUACACGGAAAAUUACCACUAAAGCGAUGUCUGCGUUUAUACCACAGGGACAUUUACAGAAUAAGGCUUCGGUUAAGGGAUGGCCAUU